UACAGAGGUCUCAAGCGUUGUUCGGAUUCAUUGGGCGUAAAGGGUGCGUAGGUGGACUUGUAAGUCAGUGGUGAAAGCCCGGAGCUCAACUCCGGAACUGCCAUUGAUACUGCAGGUCUUGAGUACACUUGAGGUGGGCGGAAUACAUCAUGUAGUGGUGAAAUACUUAGAUAUGAUGUAGAACACCGAUUGCGAAGGCAGCUCACUAAAUUGUAACUGACACUGAGGCACGAAAGCGUGGGGAUCAAACAGG
Molecule: ribosomal RNA, 253 nt
Filed under: uncultured bacterium
Lineage: Bacteria
Description: partial 16S ribosomal RNA
Rfam family: Bacterial small subunit ribosomal RNA
Source: RNAcentral